This 331-nucleotide unclassified non-coding RNA is filed under the name soil metagenome. RNAcentral describes it as "partial contains 5.8S ribosomal RNA, internal transcribed spacer 2, and large subunit ribosomal RNA". The stretch from base 1 to 120 matches the Rfam family "5.8S ribosomal RNA", at positions 35 to 154 of the family's 154-position model. The record is from RNAcentral.
GAUGAAGAACGCAGCAAAAUGCGAUAAGUAAUGUGAAUUGCAGAAUUCAGUGAAUCAUCGAAUCUUUGAACGCACAUUGCGCCCGCCAGUAUUCUGGCGGGCAUGCCUGUUCGAGCGUCAUUUCAACCCUCAAGCACAGCUUGGUGUUGGGACUCGCGUUAAUUCGCGUUCCCCAAAUUGAUUGGCGGUCACGUCGAGCUUCCAUAGCGUAGUAGUAAAACCCUCGUUACUGGUAAUCGUCGCGGCCACGCCGUUAAACCCCAACUUCUGAACGUUGACCUCGGAUCAGGUAGGAAUACCCGCUGAACUUAAGCAUACAAUAAGCGGAGGA